This 30-nucleotide non-coding RNA is filed under the name Rattus norvegicus (Norway rat). The record is from RNAcentral. Lineage: Eukaryota; Metazoa; Chordata; Mammalia; Rodentia; Muridae.
AGCAUUGUCAGAUAUGAAUGGACCCUUGGG